This 468-nucleotide ribosomal RNA is filed under the name uncultured bacterium. Its description in RNAcentral is "partial 16S ribosomal RNA". It matches the Rfam family "Bacterial small subunit ribosomal RNA", at positions 28 to 507 of the family's 1533-position model. The record is from RNAcentral.
GACGAACGCUGGCGGCGUGCUUAACACAUGCAAGUCGAACGGAAAGGCCCUGCUUUUGUGGGGUGCUCGAGUGGCGAACGGGUGAGUAACACGUGAGUAACCUGCCCUUGACUUUGGGAUAACUUCAGGAAACUGGGGCUAAUACCGGAUAGGAGCUCCUGCUGCAUGGUGGGGGUGGGAAAGUUUCGGCGGUUGGGGAUGGACUCGCGGCUUAUCAGCUUGUUGGUGGGGUAGUGGCUUACCAAGGCUUUGACGGGUAGCCGGCCUGAGAGGGUGACCGGCCACAUUGGGACUGAGAUACGGACCAGACUCCUACGGGAGGCAGCAGUGGGGAAUAUUGCACAAUGGGCGGAAGCCUGAUGAAGCAACGCCGCGUGCGGGAUGACGGCCUUCGGGUUGUAAACCGCUUUCGCCUGUGACGAAGCGUGAGUGACGGUAAUGGGUAAAGAAGCACCGGCUAACUACGUG